This 247-nucleotide ribosomal RNA is filed under the name uncultured bacterium. RNAcentral describes it as "partial 16S ribosomal RNA". It matches the Rfam family "Bacterial small subunit ribosomal RNA", at positions 99 to 334 of the family's 1533-position model. The record is from RNAcentral.
CGCACGGGUGAGUAACGCGUGGAUAAUCUACCCUUAAGAUGGGGAUAACGGCUGGAAACGGUCGCUAAUACCGAAUACGCUCCCGAUUUUAUCGUUGGGGGGAAGGAUGGCCUCUGCUUGCAAGCUAUCGCUUAAGGAUGAGUCCGCGUCCCAUUAGCUAGUUGGCGGGGUAACGGCCCACCAAGGCAACGAUGGGUAGCCGGUCUGAGAGGAUGACCGGCCGCACUGGAACUGGAACACGGUCCAG